CAGGAAGCACAGGUCUACAAGCAGCAGCAUUCUAUAUGGGACUGUCUUGAUUUACACCACAACCUAUGGAUGGAAGUGUUUUAAAGCUUUCUGUAUGUAACAGCUAAACAAAUGGGUAUUUGUGCCGCUGUUCAGCUCUGCAUUUAGCAAGUUUCUAAUGCUAACACUUGCCAUGCAGGAAGUUGUGAAGAGAAGACUUCAAAUUCCAGAAUGUGUGGGAGGGACAAGUCCAACAAAUGUAACGAGCCAUCUGUCUUUCUGUUGCUUGGCAGAGUCUGCUGCUUAACCAUUUCCAGUUAAGAUGGCCCCUGCCAGAUUGUUGGAAAACCAUGUCUGUAACUCUAUCAAAACUGUGCAGCAAAAUAUGCAAACUGGCAAAAAUUAGUGUUGCUGUUCUCUCUGCUUGAAGCCUGAAGAGAAUUGUAAUGUUCAGGCAUUCUGAAGCUGUACUGAAUCCACUAGCAUUGAUCCAAUUAACUUUUUAAAUUUUAACUUUUUUAUGGAUUCUCCGAGUUGUGAGUAAAGUGAAUCAAAGAACAAUGUUAUCCUUGUUUGUGUGGCAGUUGCUUUACUCUGUGGCUUGCAAGACGGAUAACUCUAAGUGCAUGUACAGUUGGAGUGAAAUUUUAAUAGACAGAGCACUAGUAAUUUCCUCCAUUUUGUUGUUUAUGGACUGAUCAUGUUCAGGUAGAAAUGUGGAUCUGCACCACUUUAGUUCACAUUUUGUUUAAAAAUGCUUCACUUUAGGAAGUGGUCCAUAAUGCCUGGCUGCCAUGUAAUUUUUGUACAUUUGUUUCUAGCACACCAUGACUUGUUUUAGUGACUGAAUGCAGGCUGAUUCACAAAACUGCAUGUAUUAGUUGCCAAUUCUGAGUUGCAUGUUGAUGGAGCUGAAGUGCACAGUUGUCAUGCCACUGCUUCUCUCAUCUCAAGUUUUGCCAUUGCCGUUGUGCUCUGUUAAAUGGGUGCAAGAAUGAUCACAGUACAAGAGUCGACAUCCUUCGAGUGAAAAGACUGUUUUUUGAUUUAAUUGCAUCAUUCUUAGAUUCCUUAUUCUGUAGCUAAUACUAGUACAAGAAUGGUGGUACCACAGCUGUGUCCCCUCUUGAGCUGCAAAGGGGCACUGAGCUUAUUGCAUGAUCAGCGAACAGUGGAAGCAGUAUGACUGUCUACAGUUCUUCCUGCAUUGUUUCACUACUUAGCAGUCUACUUUUUGGAAUGCCUGUUUGGACGUGCUGAGACUGAGCUACUGCCAUCUGGCUUGUAUUAAAUUGUUGCUUUAUACAUUUAUCAACCAGACCUUAAUUAGGACAUAAAAAACUGUCCUUUAAUUUAGGAGCAUAACUUGAUUUCUCUCUUACACUUGGGCAUUGUUGGGGUAAAUUAUUGAACAUGCUUUUUUCUUUUUAAAUCUGAUUUAGAGCAUUGGAAAGCUUUGUACCGUGUAUGCACCAGAUGUUUUCUCUGAUGUGAGAAAUGGUAAUGGUGAAGGGGCAGUUUACUUGGUAACCAAGAAAGUGGUAUUGCAGGAGGAGCUACAAUGUUCCUACUCUUCUCAGUCUUGUAGCCAGAGUAUUCUUUCCUUACAGGGCAAGUUAAUGUUCUAGAUUGACCCCAUGGCCGGAAUGAAAGUUUAGUGGGUAGGUCUUUGUUAUGGUUUAUACGAUGGAAUCCUGUUAAGGUGGAGGAAAAUUUAUUGCAUCGAGAAAGCACAUGUGCAACAGGAAUUGUGUAAUCGGUUGAAGCAUCUACAUGUGGAUAAAUUGAUAGUACUCUGUUGAAAAAAAAUUACCUGUUGAAAGUUUGAGAGGUUUAGCAGUCAUUACUACCAAUCCAGAGAAGUUUGUAUAUAAAUAUCUAAUUAUUUAA
Long non-coding RNA from Protopterus annectens (West African lungfish), 1869 nucleotides. RefSeq lists it as uncharacterized. The record is from RefSeq and is a predicted model, not a curated record. The transcript is spliced from 2 exons. Lineage: Eukaryota; Metazoa; Chordata; Ceratodontiformes; Protopteridae.